UAGUAGGAAUGACCCCCAGGACAAGAGU
Molecule: non-coding RNA, 28 nt
Filed under: Rattus norvegicus (Norway rat)
Lineage: Eukaryota; Metazoa; Chordata; Mammalia; Rodentia; Muridae
Source: RNAcentral